RNAcentral lists this ribosomal RNA (249 nucleotides) under uncultured bacterium. RNAcentral describes it as "partial 16S ribosomal RNA". It matches the Rfam family "Bacterial small subunit ribosomal RNA", at positions 1256 to 1500 of the family's 1533-position model. The record is from RNAcentral.
CGCGAAGGCAAGCGGAUCUCUUAAAGCUGUUCUCAGUUCGGACUGCAGUCUGCAACUCGACUGCACGAAGCUGGAAUCGCUAGUAAUCGCGGAUCAGCACGCCGCGGUGAAUACGUUCCCGGGCCUUGUACACACCGCCCGUCACACCAUGGAAGUCUGCAACGCCCGAAGCCGGUGGCCUAACCACUUAUGUGGAAGGAGCCGUCUAAGGCAGGGCAGAUGACUGGGGUGAAGUCGUAACAAGGUACC